This is a long non-coding RNA of Nylanderia fulva, 535 nucleotides long. RefSeq lists it as uncharacterized. The record is from RefSeq and is a predicted model, not a curated record. NCBI's taxonomy places the organism in Eukaryota, Metazoa, Arthropoda, Insecta, Hymenoptera, Formicidae.
GUGCUUUCUCUCUUUUUUUUCGAGUACCGCGCAUUCAUCAUUAAAUGAACGCCAUGGAAAGAGAGACAACGGUGAUAUAAGAGCAAUAGAGAAAAAAAUCCGGGACGAUAUAUCACACGAAGAAGCAAUCGCAUUAGUGAGUACUUUAGUGAGUGCCACAAAACAGAGACAACGAUGAAAUAAGAAUGGAGACGAAAAUUCGAGGCGGCAUAUUCAGGCGAUGGAAGAGCAACUUUAAGUUCAAUGCUGCAUACUACGCUAUAUAACCCCGCUGCUGCGUAUCGCCCGUGCAUCGAUUUGUUACUAAAAACUGAGAGGAGGAGGAGGCCUGGGAAAGGCAUCGGGCGUCAAACGGAGCAACUCUGAAAUUACCAUAGCAGUCAACUCCUCUGUUUUACAACGAAUGAUAAGUGAUAAAUUAUUAUUUAUUGCGAGGUAACGGUUUUGUAGAGAUUCAUUUGUGUAGAUGUAGAUUUAGAUUGUAGAAUGUAGAUUGUAGAUAGUUUCGUUACCUCGAAUAAAUGAAUGGAUUAUA